AUUGAACGCUGGCGGAAUGCUUUACACAUGCAAGUCGAGCGGCAGCGCGGGGGCAACCCUGGCGGCGAGCGGCGAACGGGUGAGUAACAUAUCGGAACGUACCCAGUCGUGGGGGAUAACUAUCCGAAAGGAUAGCUAAUACCGCAUACGUCCUGAGGGAGAAAGCGGGGGAUCGCAAGACCUCGCGCGAUUGGAGCGGCCGAUAUCGGAUUAGCUAGUUGGUGGGGUAAAGGCUCACCAAGGCGACGAUCCGUAGCGGGUCUGAGAGGACGACCCGCCACACUGGAACUGAGACACGGGCCCGACUCCUACGGGAGGCAGCAGUAGGGAAUAUUGGACAAUGGGCGCAAGCCUGAUCCAGCCAUCCCGCGUGAAGGAUUAAGGCCCUCUGGGUUGUAAACUUCUUUUCUUUGGGAAUAAAAACUACCGUUUCUACGGAGCUUGAAGGUACCAGAGGAAUAAGCACCGGCUAACUCCGUG
This 480-nucleotide ribosomal RNA is filed under the name uncultured bacterium. Its description in RNAcentral is "bacterial SSU rRNA". It matches the Rfam family "Bacterial small subunit ribosomal RNA", at positions 30 to 507 of the family's 1533-position model. The record is from RNAcentral.